Molecule: ribosomal RNA, 253 nt
Filed under: uncultured bacterium
Lineage: Bacteria
Description: partial 16S ribosomal RNA
Rfam family: Bacterial small subunit ribosomal RNA
Source: RNAcentral
UACGAGGGGGGCAAGCGUUGUUCGGAAUUAUUGGGCGUACAGGGUGCGUCGGCGGUUUUGCAAGACAGAUGUGAAAUCCCCGGGCUCAACCUGGGAACUGCAUUUGUGACUGCAUGGCUAGAGUACGGUAGAGGGGGAUGGAAUUCCGCGUGUAGCAGUGAAAUGCGUAGAUAUGCGGAGGAACACCGAUGGCGAAGGCAAUCCCCUGGACCUGUACUGACGCUCAUGCACGAAAGCGUGGGGAGCAAACAGG